RNAcentral lists this ribosomal RNA (1403 nucleotides) under metagenome. Its description in RNAcentral is "bacterial LSU rRNA". It matches the Rfam family "Bacterial large subunit ribosomal RNA", at positions 1502 to 2925 of the family's 2925-position model. The record is from RNAcentral.
AAGAGCCGGUGCAAGCGAGGGAGCCGUCGGACAGGCAAAUCCGUUCGAUAAGGCAAAAGCGUGAUGCGGACCGAAGUUUAGUAGGGAAGCAGGUGAGCCAGCUGUCGAGAAAAGCCGCUAUUGUUCAUGAUAUACCCGUACCGUAAACCGACACAGGUGGAUGAGGAGAGAAUCCUAAGGCCGACGGGAGAAGCGUUGUUAAGGAACUCGGCAAAAUGACUCCGUAACUUCGGGAGAAGGGGUGCCUGCGAAAGCAGGCCGCAGAGAAGAGGCCCAAGCAACUGUUUAGCAAAAACACAGGUCUAUGCGAAACCGAAAGGUGAGGUAUAUGGGCUGACGCCUGCCCGGUGCUGGAAGGUUAAGGGGAGAGGUUAGCGAAAGCGAAGCCUUGAACUUAAGCCCCAGUAAACGGCGGCCGUAACGAUAACGGUCCUAAGGUAGCGAAAUUCCUUGUCGGGUAAGUUCCGACCCGCACGAAAGGCGUAAUGAUUUGGGCACUGUCUCGACAACGCACCCGGUGAAAUUGAAGUACCAGUGAAGAUGCUGGUUACCCGCGCCAGGACGGAAAGACCCCAUGGAGCUUUACUCCAGCUUGAUACUGGGACUCGGUAUUGCAUGUACAGGAUAGGUGGGAGGCUAAGAAGCAAGGACGCCAGUCUUUGCGGAGCCGCUGUUGGGAUACCACCCUUGUGGUACUGGGUUUCUAACGUACAGCCAUGAACUGGCUGGCGGACAAUGUCAGGUGGGGAGUUUGACUGGGGCGGUCGCCUCCGAAAGGGUAUCGGAGGCGCUCAAAGGUUCCCUCAGAAUGGUUGGAAACCAUUCGAAGAGUGCAAAGGCAGAAGGGAGCUUGACUGCGACACCGACGGGUGGAGCAGGUACGAAAGUAGGACUUAGUGAUCCGGUGGUAUAAAGUGGGAUUGCCAUCGCUCAACGGAUAAAAGCUACCCUGGGGAUAACAGGCUUAUCACUCCCAAGAGUUCACAUCGACGGAGUGGUUUGGCACCUCGAUGUCGGCUCAUCGCAUCCUGGGGCUGGAGUAGGUCCCAAGGGCUGGGCUGUUCGCCCAUUAAAGCGGUACGCGAGCUGGGUUCAGAACGUCGUGAGACAGUUCGGUCCCUAUCCGGCGCGGGCGUAGGAUAUUUGAGAGGAGCUGUCCUUAGUACGAGAGGACCGGGAUGGACGGACCACUGGUGUACCAGUUGCAUACCAAAUGCAGAGCUGGGUAGCCAAGUCUGGAAGGGAUAAACGCUGAAGGCAUCUAAGCGUGAAGCCCCCCUCAAGAUGAGAUAUCCCAUUCGAAAGAAGUAAGACCCCUUAGAGAGUAUGAGGUAGAUAGGGCAGAGGUGGAAGUGCAGUAAUGCAUGGAGCUGACUGUUACUAAUCGGUCGAGGGCUUGACCU